RNAcentral lists this ribosomal RNA (2542 nucleotides) under Shigella sonnei. RNAcentral's name for it is "bacterial LSU rRNA". It matches the Rfam family "Bacterial large subunit ribosomal RNA", at positions 415 to 2925 of the family's 2925-position model. The record is from RNAcentral. Lineage: Bacteria; Pseudomonadati; Pseudomonadota; Gammaproteobacteria; Enterobacterales; Enterobacteriaceae.
GGGCGGGACACGUGGUAUCCUGUCUGAAUAUGGGGGGACCAUCCUCCAAGGCUAAAUACUCCUGACUGACCGAUAGUGAACCAGUACCGUGAGGGAAAGGCGAAAAGAACCCCGGCGAGGGGAGUGAAAAAGAACCUGAAACCGUGUACGUACAAGCAGUGGGAGCACGCUUAGGCGUGUGACUGCGUACCUUUUGUAUAAUGGGUCAGCGACUUAUAUUCUGUAGCAAGGUUAACCGAAUAGGGGAGCCGAAGGGAAACCGAGUCUUAACUGGGCGUUAAGUUGCAGGGUAUAGACCCGAAACCCGGUGAUCUAGCCAUGGGCAGGUUGAAGGUUGGGUAACACUAACUGGAGGACCGAACCGACUAAUGUUGAAAAAUUAGCGGAUGACUUGUGGCUGGGGGUGAAAGGCCAAUCAAACCGGGAGAUAGCUGGUUCUCCCCGAAAGCUAUUUAGGUAGCGCCUCGUGAAUUCAUCUCCGGGGGUAGAGCACUGUUUCGGCAAGGGGGUCAUCCCGACUUACCAACCCGAUGCAAACUGCGAAUACCGGAGAAUGUUAUCACGGGAGACACACGGCGGGUGCUAACGUCCGUCGUGAAGAGGGAAACAACCCAGACCGCCAGCUAAGGUCCCAAAGUCAUGGUUAAGUGGGAAACGAUGUGGGAAGGCCCAGACAGCCAGGAUGUUGGCUUAGAAGCAGCCAUCAUUUAAAGAAAGCGUAAUAGCUCACUGGUCGAGUCGGCCUGCGCGGAAGAUGUAACGGGGCUAAACCAUGCACCGAAGCUGCGGCAGCGACGCUUAUGCGUUGUUGGGUAGGGGAGCGUUCUGUAAGCCUGCGAAGGUGUGCUGUGAGGCAUGCUGGAGGUAUCAGAAGUGCGAAUGCUGACAUAAGUAACGAUAAAGCGGGUGAAAAGCCCGCUCGCCGGAAGACCAAGGGUUCCUGUCCAACGUUAAUCGGGGCAGGGUGAGUCGACCCCUAAGGCGAGGCCGAAAGGCGUAGUCGAUGGGAAACAGGUUAAUAUUCCUGUACUUGGUGUUACUGCGAAGGGGGGACGGAGAAGGCUAUGUUGGCCGGGCGACGGUUGUCCCGGUUUAAGCGUGUAGGCUGGUUUUCCAGGCAAAUCCGGAAAAUCAAGGCUGAGGCGUGAUGACGAGGCACUACGGUGCUGAAGCAACAAAUGCCCUGCUUCCAGGAAAAGCCUCUAAGCAUCAGGUAACAUCAAAUCGUACCCCAAACCGACACAGGUGGUCAGGUAGAGAAUACCAAGGCGCUUGAGAGAACUCGGGUGAAGGAACUAGGCAAAAUGGUGCCGUAACUUCGGGAGAAGGCACGCUGAUAUGUAGGUGAAGUCCCUUGCGGAUGGAGCUGAAAUCAGUCGAAGAUACCAGCUGGCUGCAACUGUUUAUUAAAAACACAGCACUGUGCAAACACGAAAGUGGACGUAUACGGUGUGACGCCUGCCCGGUGCCGGAAGGUUAAUUGAUGGGGUCAGCGCAAGCGAAGCUCUUGAUCGAAGCCCCGGUAAACGGCGGCCGUAACUAUAACGGUCCUAAGGUAGCGAAAUUCCUUGUCGGGUAAGUUCCGACCUGCACGAAUGGCGUAAUGAUGGCCAGGCUGUCUCCACCCGAGACUCAGUGAAAUUGAACUCGCUGUGAAGAUGCAGUGUACCCGCGGCAAGACGGAAAGACCCCGUGAACCUUUACUAUAGCUUGACACUGAACAUUGAGCCUUGAUGUGUAGGAUAGGUGGGAGGCUUUGAAGUGUGGACGCCAGUCUGCAUGGAGCCGGCCUUGAAAUACCACCCUUUAAUGUUUGAUGUUCUAACGUGGACCCGUGAUCCGGGUUGCGGACAGUGUCUGGUGGGUAGUUUGACUGGGGCGGUCUCCUCCUAAAGAGUAACGGAGGAGCACGAAGGUUGGCUAAUCCUGGUCGGACAUCAGGAGGUUAGUGCAAUGGCAUAAGCCAGCUUGACUGCGAGCGUGACGGCGCGAGCAGGUGCGAAAGCAGGUCAUAGUGAUCCGGUGGUUCUGAAUGGAAGGGCCAUCGCUCAACGGAUAAAAGGUACUCCGGGGAUAACAGGCUGAUACCGCCCAAGAGUUCAUAUCGACGGCGGUGUUUGGCACCUCGAUGUCGGCUCAUCACAUCCUGGGGCUGAAGUAGGUCCCAAGGGUAUGGCUGUUCGCCAUUUAAAGUGGUACGCGAGCUGGGUUUAGAACGUCGUGAGACAGUUCGGUCCCUAUCUGCCGUGGGCGCUGGAGAACUGAGGGGGGCUGCUCCUAGUACGAGAGGACCGGAGUGGACGCAUCACUGGUGUUCGGGUUGUCAUGCCAAUGGCACUGCCCGGUAGCUAAAUGCGGAAGAGAUAAGUGCUGAAAGCAUCUAAGCACGAAACUUGCCCCGAGAUGAGUUCUCCCUGACCCUUUAAGGGUCCUGAAGGAACGUUGAAGACGACGACGUUGAUAGGCCGGGUGUGUAAGCGCAGCGAUGCGUUGAGCUAACCGGUACUAAUGAACCGUGAGGCUUAACCUUACAACGCCGAAG